This 717-nucleotide ribosomal RNA is filed under the name uncultured Staphylococcus sp. Its description in RNAcentral is "bacterial SSU rRNA". It matches the Rfam family "Bacterial small subunit ribosomal RNA", at positions 60 to 760 of the family's 1533-position model. Lineage: Bacteria; Bacillati; Bacillota; Bacilli; Caryophanales; Staphylococcaceae. The record is from RNAcentral.
AGUCGAGCGAACAGACGAGGAGCUUGCUCCUCUGACGUUAGCGGCGGACGGGUGAGUAACACGUGGAUAACCUACCUAUAAGACUGGGAUAACUUCGGGAAACCGGAGCUAAUACCGGAUAAUAUAUUGAACCGCAUGGUUCAAUAGUGAAAGACGGUUUUGCUGUCACUUAUAGAUGGAUCCGCGUCGCAUUAGCUAGUUGGUAAGGUAACGGCUUACCAAGGCAACGAUGCGUAGCCGACCUGAGAGGGUGAUCGGCCACACUGGAACUGAGACACGGUCCAGACUCCUACGGGAGGCAGCAGUAGGGAAUCUUCCGCAAUGGGCGAAAGCCUGACGGAGCAACGCCGCGUGAGUGAUGAAGGUCUUCGGAUCGUAAAACUCUGUUAUUAGGGAAGAACAAAUGUGUAAGUAACUAUGCACGUCUUGACGGUACCUAAUCAGAAAGCCACGGCUAACUACGUGCCAGCAGUCGCGGUAAUACGUAGGUGGCAAGCGUUAUCCGGAAUUAUUGGGCGUAAAGCGCGCGUAGGCGGUUUUUUAAGUCUGAUGUGAAGCCCACGGCUCAACCGUGGAGGGUCAUUGGAAACUGAAAAACUUGAGUGCAGAAGAGGAAAGUGGAAUUCCAUGUGUAGCGGUGAAAUGCGCAGAGAUAUGGAGGAACACCAGUGGCGAAGGCGACUUUCUGGUCUGUAACUGACGCUGAUGUGCGAAAGC